GCUGUGUCUGGCUGCGGUUG
RNAcentral lists this unclassified non-coding RNA (20 nucleotides) under Chlamydomonas reinhardtii. RNAcentral's name for it is "small RNA Cre_1805". Lineage: Eukaryota; Viridiplantae; Chlorophyta; Chlorophyceae; Chlamydomonadales; Chlamydomonadaceae. The record is from RNAcentral.